RNAcentral lists this unclassified non-coding RNA (824 nucleotides) under Hevea brasiliensis (rubber tree). The record is from RNAcentral. Lineage: Eukaryota; Viridiplantae; Streptophyta; Magnoliopsida; Malpighiales; Euphorbiaceae.
CUAACUAGUUAGAGUUGGCAAUAAAAAAAGAACUAAUGAUUAGCCAAAAUAUAAACAAAACCCCCAAAAUAAAGUAGUUUUGUACAAAAUUCCCAUGAACUCUACGGUUCAGAAGAAAAUAAAAGCAAUCCCCUUCAAGCUAUGAAUGCUAGGAAAUUGACGCCGAACUCCACUCAAAAACAUAAUGAACUAAUAGUUGAAUCACAGCCUACAAUAAAUCAGCAUACCAUAAGAACAGCUAAAUAUCCAAAGUACUCAUUUUCCAAGCAUGAUCCGAUCUUCUCAAUAUAGGAGCAGCCCCAAAAGAAAAAUUUAUGAAAUUCAGUUUCUUUAAACUCCAAACUUCGACAAUUAAGUUCCACAUUUUCCAUUUAAAUACUAUAGACAAGCAUAUUUAUCCUCAUCAUAUAAUUUGAAUUGCAGCAAUGCCUUCAAAACACAAAGGAAAAGAAUCUCGUUGGAUGUUCGAGGAAAACAGUGACAACUUUAGAUUUUAUAAAUGACCGGAAUUACCUUAGAUCUAGCUGAAGCCGUUGGAGUAGAAGCACAAAAAAUGUAGUUGAUCAAAUAGGCACGAGCCAGUAAUUAAGAAGAAUAUAACACUAAAGAAUUGUUACAUUUUAUCUGAUAAGUUAAAAUCACAAGAACCCAGAAGAGGAAAGGGAAAUCCCACAACAUCCCAUUGCUUCGCAAACUAGUAGGGGAAAAAGAGAAAAGUUUCGUUCCUUUACUUUCUUUUGAAUUUCUGAGGAACUAAACAGACCAUAUAAAGCUAAUGAAACUAUGAGAAUUGGAAAAGCGCAGAAUGCAAACAGGAAAAGAAG